CCUACGGGGGGCAGCAGUGGGGAAUAUUGGACAAUGGGGGCAACCCUGAUCCAGCCAUGCCGCGUGUGUGAAGAAGGCCCUCGGGUUGUAAAGCACUUUCAGUGAGGAAGAACGCCUGGUGGUUAAUACCCAUCAGGAAAGACAUCACUCACAGAAGAAGCACCGGCUAACUCCGUGCCAGCAGCCGCGGUAAUACGGAGGGUGCGAGCGUUAAUCGGAAUUACUGGGCGUAAAGCGCGCGUAGGUGGCUUGAUAAGCCGGUUGUGAAAGCCCCGGGCUCAACCUGGGAACGGCAUCCGGAACUGUCAAGCUAGGGUGCAGGAGAGGAAGGUAGAAUUCCCGGUGUAGCGGUGAAAUGCGUAGAGAUCGGGAGGAAUACCAGUGGCGAAGGCGGCCUUCUGGACUGACACUGACACUGAGGUGCGAAAGCGUGGGUAGCAAACAGGAUUAGAUACCCUGGUAGUC
Molecule: ribosomal RNA, 465 nt
Filed under: Vreelandella stevensii
Lineage: Bacteria; Pseudomonadati; Pseudomonadota; Gammaproteobacteria; Oceanospirillales; Halomonadaceae
Description: partial 16S ribosomal RNA
Rfam family: Bacterial small subunit ribosomal RNA
Source: RNAcentral